Gasterosteus aculeatus aculeatus (three-spined stickleback) is the source of this 758-nucleotide long non-coding RNA. Lineage: Eukaryota; Metazoa; Chordata; Actinopteri; Perciformes; Gasterosteidae. The record is from Ensembl.
CACACGUCCACUUGUAACCAGCCAAUGGUACGAGGGAUCCGGGACGGACCCGUGGACGUGUCUGGGCGCUCCUCCCUGGCGUUGCAUCAUACAUCGGUUCCUGCAAACACCCUGACACAGUGUCACAUGGCGCGCGUGUCUCUCCCACGCAGCCGCGAUGGGAAGCAGAGCUCAGGCUGCUCUGGGAUCAGAUGCUCGACGCGCACAGCUACACAUGCAGGCAACAACGGUACUGUCUGGUGAGACAGAGAGGGAGAGACAGAGAGAGAGACAGAGAGAGACAGAGAGGGAGAGACAGAGAGGGAGAGACAGACAGAGAGAGACAGAGAGGGAGAGACGGUGGAGCAAUGGGAAGUGCAAACCAGGACACACACAGCCUCUGUCACUUUGAAUGAACAUUGUGCACAGUCGGCUUGUCUCUCCUCCCCCCUCUCUCUCUCCCUCCCUCUCUCUCUGUCUACCCCUCCUCCACUCGUCUCCUGCUUCCCCUCCUUCGCUAUCUCCUCCUUCUGCUCCCUCGUCGCUGCCUUCAAACAUGUUCAAACACCAAGACGGACUAACAUUUCCAUAUUGAUUGGGUCGCUGUGUGUGCGUGUGCAGACUGGUCCUGCUGUGGUCAACGAGGUCAACAUGGUGGCCACACAGACCCCCCCAUGUUCCACAGCGCCCUGCUCAGGGUGCACACAGCCUCCUUCAUGCACUCAGCUGAUGACGGCUGACACUGAGCGAAGGCCUGCGGUUAAACCCUCAGAUGGAAG